GCUUCAUUCAUGAACAUACUGAGCUUUUCUUCUGUUUGCUAUAUCCCUUCUCUAUUACUCUUUUGCUUGCGUUUGCCUGUUGAAAUGAUCACAUCCAUGAUAAUUUCUGCCUUCCUGGUUUUGACCCACACUUGCCUUCUGAUGCAGGAUCAUCCAUCCAUCCAAUUUCUACGCCGCUUCUCCGUCAGGAAUACUUCGCCAAACAUGCAGACGGUGGAUUCCGAAGCUAUCCAGAAGGCUUUAUCAGAGCAAGGACAACUAUUGGGUCGACAUCAGCAGGUGCUAACCGGAGUAACUCAAUCAUUGAAUUCUCUGGCUCAACAGCAAGUGCACCAGCAGGCUCAGUUAGCCCAACUCAUCGCCAGUGUACAGGGACUGACCAGGCAGCUCCAAGUGAUGAAUCUCACUGAACAUUUGGCUACAACAGGAAUUCAGACUGCUGUAGAGAACCAAGCCACUACCACUUAUCCGGUAUCAGAAACACCUGAUUUACCGGAACCUAUGCAGUGUGAUUCGUCUCAUUUGUCUAAAGAAGAGAGAAGGUGCCAGUUCCAGAACCAGCUUUGUAUGUAUUGUGGCCAAGCCGGACACCAAGUAAGAAAUUGUCUCGAACGACCUCAAUCUCGCAAGGUGCCAACCCCAAGAAAGGGGAUUGGAGUUCACGUCACAUGCUAAUAUGCCCUGAUUGACUCUGGAGCCAAGGGGAACUUCAUUCAAGCCAGCCUCGUGGACCGACUACAAAUCCCUGCGGAAGAACUAUCAACAGCCCUCAAGGUUGCAGCUAUGGAUGGAGGUCCUGUAGGUGUGGGGUCCAUUUCCAAGAUCACUACCCCUGUAGAAAUUCAAACCAGUGCCCUAUACUGAGAAACCAUAACGCUGAUACUAAUACUUCGAGACAUGCUAGGACAAUAUGUAAUCGCCAAUCCAGACGACAUCUUAGUUUAUUCGCCAGAUUAUGAGAGUCAUAUACAACACGUUAGGACAACAAUCGACAAUCAAACAAAAAAAAAUGCAAAUUUUAUUUGCAGUCGGUCGCAUUACAUAAUUAGUGCACAAGGAGUUACUAUGGACAAUCACAAGGUAGAUGCAGUGGUUAACUGGCCUCAACCCAAAAGUCUCAAGGAGUUACAAAGAUUUCUAGGUUUUGCCCAUUUUUAUUGCCAAUUCAUUAGAAACUUCAGUGUAAUCGCAACUCCCCUGACUUCACUAUUAAAAGGGGCCCCCAGAAAAAUGUCAUGGUCAGAACAGACAGAUGUAACUUUUAACCACAUAAAGACAGCGUUCGUUAUGGCCCCGAUUCUUCACCAUCCAGACCCCUCUCGACAGUUUGUAGUAGAGGUAGAUGCCUCUGAAACUGGAGUAGGGGCAGUACUAUCCCAGAGAAUGGGCGACCUGGAGAAACUGUUUCCCAUCGCCUUUUAGUCCCAUAAACUUUCCCCAAUGGAGAAGAAUUACGGUGUAGGUGACAGAGAACUCUUAGCUGUCAAACAUGCCUUAGAAGAGUGGAGGCAUUGGUUGGAGGGAGCUAAAUUCCCAUUCAUAGUUGUCACAGACCACAAAAAUCUAGAAUAUCUACGCACGACUAAGAGAAUAAAUUCGUGUCAAGCCCACUGGUUUUUGUUUUUCUCACGCUUUCGUUUUAACAUUACUUAUAGACCAGGAUCCAGGAAUACUGAAGCUGAUGCGUCAUCUAGACUCUAAAACAGAGACCCCAGAACAUAUUCUGGCACAGAAAGUCAGCAUUUCCUCCAUAAGAUGGGACAUAGAUGAAAAAAUUGAAUGGGCUCUAUAACACCUCCAAAAACCAGACCAGUGUCCUUCACAAAAAUUGUGCCCGAAGCCUUUCACAACCAGCUCAUCAGAUGGGCACAUUCUUCUAUGACUUCUGGACAUCCCAGAGAGACAAGAACCCAGAAACUACUGGUGCAAAUGUAUUGGUGGGAAUCCUUGACAAAAGACAUUCAUAUGUUUGUGGCAUCACAUUCUGUUUGUUCACAGUGCAAGACUCCUAAGACUUUACCAGCAGGGAAAUUGAUGCCUCUACCCGUUCCUCAAAGACCCUGGUCACAUAUUUCUAUCCACUUUGUUACAGAUUUACACGUCCCUGAAGGAUUCACCAACAUACUCACCAUAGUAGACCGAUUCUCCAAGGGUGUAAGAUUCAUGCCAUUUGCAUCUAUUCCCAGUGCUUUCCAGACUUCCAAUGCCUUGUUCUUACAGGUUUUCAGGACAUUCGGCAUCCCGGAGGAUAUCAUCUCUGAUAGAGGACCCCAGUUCACAUCCUAAGUUUGGUCUGCCUUUUUUGAACACUUGGGAAUGUCAGUGAGUUUAACAUCAGGUUAUCACCUGCAGUCUAAUGGACAGUGUGAGAGGGUUAACCAAGAACUGGGAAAAUUCUUGAGGUUGUUUUUGUUAUGAGAACCCUUCAGAUAGGUCUGAGUUUUUUAGUAUGGGCUGAGAUCACACAAAACUCUCUAACCAGCUCUGUUGCAGGGGUAAGUCUGAUUCUGUGUAUUCUUGGCUUUCAACCACCCAUUGCACCAUGGACUGGAGUCCAGACAAACGUUCCUGCAGUUGAUGAUUGGAUGGCAAGGAGCGAAAGGUUUGGGGAAGAAACCCAUCAUCAAAUCGAGGAAGCCAUCCGACGCCAUAAGGAACAGGCCGGUUGUCACCGGGGUGCCGCAACCGUCUACCCGCUGGGAGAUUGUGUUUGGCUAGCCACCGGGGAUUUCCGCAACUCAGGGGAAUUGCCAUAAACUACAGCCCAAAUACUUAGGACCUUUUAAGAUUGUUCAAAAAAAAAUAACGACGUAACUUAUAGACUCGACCUACCUCCCCGUUUCUGAGUAUCUUGUUUUUUUGUUUUUUUUUCUUCAUGGAUCUCUGCUUACACCUGUAUUUUCCCACUGGAGGUGAUAGAUGGGAAUCCAGUCUAUGCUGUUCGACGGUUGCUGGACUCAUGGAGGUGAGAUGACCUCUGCCUGAACUCCAUUUCCCAGGAGCAUGAGGGAGAUCACGUGACUGGUGACGAUCAUUCAUGCACCUAUCAGCGGUCACCCAAUUACUGAUUCAUGUCACCUGUACUGGUUUGUCACGUGUGCUACUUAGAAUAGUUUAUAAGCCCGGGCUUCACUUAGUUUAGUUGCGAAGUAUUGCUUCAUUCAUGAACAUUCUGAGCUUUUCUUCUGUUUGCUAUAUCCCUUCUUUGUGUACCUGGACUGUGACAUAUAUAUUUUUUUUUUCUUUGUUCAUCGGAUUCUGGUUGCCUGUUUUUGACUGUGCUUUGAACUACUCUGUUUGUGAACUCUACCUUGUUUUUUGGAUUACCCUUUUGCUUGCAUUUGCCUGUUGGAAUGAUCACAACCGUGAUCAUUUCUGCCUUGCUGGUUUUGACCCACACUUGCCUUCUGAUGUCUGAUCUGUCUUUUGUAAAUUAAUCUU
Long non-coding RNA from Pygocentrus nattereri (red-bellied piranha), 3441 nucleotides. RefSeq lists it as uncharacterized. NCBI's taxonomy places the organism in Eukaryota, Metazoa, Chordata, Actinopteri, Characiformes, Serrasalmidae. The record is from RefSeq and is a predicted model, not a curated record. The transcript has 5 exons.